AGAGGGUAGCUGCCUAGCUGAGCUGAAGCCACACACUCAUGCUGUGGCUGAACUGGAGGCAGAGAGACAGGUCUGGCCUCUCGAGCUCCCGUAUGAGAACAUCAGCUCCAAUACCCACCCACGUUGGGGAGGGCUAAUGCCCCAAAAGGAAAUUGGGAUACUGUUUAGGGAGAACGGAUGUGGGCAGCCCACAGGGAGCCUGACGGCAUAGAGCAGAUCCUGAUGACGUGGAUAAAUUGCCCCCAACAGAAAGAGACACAGCAGGGAGAAAAAGAUCCUUGUUGAUGUUUGACCUGCCUCUGAUCUUCCACAGGGGGCACAAAUCCAACUGCAGGAGGAGAAAAUGAAGCCAGUGAGACUCAAGAGAGAGAGAGAAGGAAUGACCUGGCAGCAUGAAGCUUCUGGUUCCAGGCUCCCCCUGAGGUCUCCGGAGACGUCCCAGUUCCUGAGACUCCCUCCACUCUGUUGGCUUCUCCAGUGUCUUCCCAAUCAAGUCGCCUUUUCCCUCAGGCUCCUUCCAGCUGGGUUUCUGUUUCUGGCAAACAGAGCUUCUGCUUCAUGUUCUUAUCCAGCCAACUCGGAGGGAACAUUGGCCAGUACAGAGCGAGAAGUCAUAGGAGGGCUCCCUCUGAGAUCAGGAAAUAUCUUUGCGGAGAAAGAAACUACAAACACCAAAUGCAAAAACCCUGUGGAGGCAGAGCUUCCAAAAAUGGAUUUAGGGAAGAAGACAAACUUAAGAAAAUCACCUAGAACUCAGAGGAGAAAUAUGAAAACUACAAAAACAAGAUCCCAGGCGUGAACCUACACCACUCGUCAGCCAUGCUGUGGCAGAGACCCACAUACAAAAAUAGAGGGAGAUUGGCACAGAUGUUAGUUCAGGG
RNAcentral lists this long non-coding RNA (881 nucleotides) under Equus caballus (horse). RNAcentral describes it as "lncRNA (ENSECAG00000054099.1)". Lineage: Eukaryota; Metazoa; Chordata; Mammalia; Perissodactyla; Equidae. The record is from RNAcentral.